Molecule: transfer RNA, 69 nt
Filed under: Aepyprymnus rufescens (rufous rat-kangaroo)
Lineage: Eukaryota; Metazoa; Chordata; Mammalia; Diprotodontia; Potoroidae
Description: tRNA-Gly
Source: RNAcentral
AUUUUUCUAGUAUAAUUAGUACUACUGAUUUCCAAUCAUUAAGUUCCAGUUUGACACUGGAGAAAAAUA